This 235-nucleotide unclassified non-coding RNA is filed under the name Nostoc linckia NIES-25. RNAcentral describes it as "partial may contain 16S ribosomal RNA, 16S-23S ribosomal RNA intergenic spacer, and 23S ribosomal RNA". The stretch from base 1 to 89 matches the Rfam family "Bacterial small subunit ribosomal RNA", at positions 1445 to 1533 of the family's 1533-position model. Lineage: Bacteria; Bacillati; Cyanobacteriota; Cyanophyceae; Nostocales; Nostocaceae. The record is from RNAcentral.
GGGGGAGGAUGCCUAAGGCAGUGCUGGUGACUGGGGUGAAGUCGUAACAAGGUAGCCGUACCGGAAGGUGUGGCUGGAUCACCUCCUUUUUAGGGAGACCUACCCAACUUUAAUAUCGAGGACACACAGUUAAUAGAUAUAAAGAUGGUCAUUCCUAGGUCGGUCGCAAACACUUGUAAAAAGCUUUCAAACUAUGAUUUGGUUCAAUUAUGGGCUAUUAGCUCAGGUGGUUAGA